RNAcentral lists this long non-coding RNA (1138 nucleotides) under Equus asinus (donkey). RNAcentral describes it as "lncRNA (ENSEASG00005023993.1)". The record is from RNAcentral. Lineage: Eukaryota; Metazoa; Chordata; Mammalia; Perissodactyla; Equidae.
AUUUGAAGCAGCAGAGACUCUCCAUGGCUGGGUUUGAAAAAGCAAACCGCUAUGAAUUCUACAGUCACAGCCAGAUGGAUCUGCCAACAACUCCAGGGAGUGUGGAGGCAGACCUUUCCUCAGUCAAGCCUCCAGGUGAGAAUGCAGCAGAGAACCCAAAUCUGCUGUGCCAGACUUCUGACGUACAGGAACUGUGAGAAAAUAAAUGGGUGUCAUUUUAAGCUGCUAAUGUUGUGGCAACUUAUUUUGCAGCAUAGAAAAAGAAUUAUACUGUCAGACAAAGAACUUAAACUAAGGAAAUGGAGAAGACUAGAAUGAGCUUUAUGGUGUUAAAGUGGAAUGGGAGGUAUUGGGGUGAACCUAAUUUUUAAUAUAUGUACAGAUAGAUAUAGAAAUAAUUAUAGAUGUGUAUGUAUGCAUUAGUAUACACACACACACUUCCUUGAGAGGACCUAUGAGAGUAGCAAUGAUAACACCUUGCACCCAGAUCUUGGUUCCUAAACGAUGAGGAUCAAGGCUGCCCCAGGGAGAGAAGCCCAAGGCCUCCUGCCCUACAUAUUGAUCUGUAUCAUCCUCCGGGAAGCAUAGGACGUCCUGACCUGAUCCGACCUGAUUCUUAUCCAAAGUUAUAGGACCACAUGAUAACCAGACCCCACCUGCACUGAUAGCAUUUUAACGAUUUUUUUUCAUGAUCUUUCCUUUGUAUUGUAGAGAAAUAACUCACAUACCUAUGCCUUAUAAAUUUAGCCUUAACCCUCAACCCAUUGCAGCUCUUACUGACAUGGGUCCUGUCCCCAUGCUAUUCUCUGAAUAAAAGAGCACUACUACCAGACCUUGAGAGUCCGAGAAAUCUUUCUUUCGACUCCUCGGCCUGCCGAGUCUGUCGUUUCUUCUGGUGGCCCAUACAGGGAUCUUGCUUCACCGGCUUGUGAGCUGAAGUUCUGGCACCUAUUACUGCCAGGCAUAAUAGGGAAGGUAUACAAGAGAUACAAUGCAGGGGGACGCCCCCAUCACCUCUUGCUAUAGGAACCCCACAGGAGGAACAACAGGUAGGACGCUGCCCUAGGUUCAGGGGGGAUUUUUCAAGGUAAUAGACCCUUUUCUUUCAUCUCUCUUCUUUUGUCUUUUUGCUUCUUAG